CGUAAGGUUCUCUGUGAUCACGAUGAAUGGAUAUGUCUAUAACUCUGUGACAUCAUCAGGAGAUCUGGAUCAAUGGAGGACCUGAUGCUUCUUGUCAACCUGUUAAAAGCUCCUGUGUCUCCUUGAACUGGUCUCAUCUUCGGUCCUUCAGCACAUCAGUGCAACAUGCCUCUGUCCAGACUCUUCUGGUCGUCCUCCUUCACCUCAGACCUCUACACAUCCCUCCUCUGGUCAGAAUGCAGCCUCAGCCCCCAGCUGAUGAUGCAUGAUACCUGUAUGAAAAAACAUCAGAACUUUCUUCCAGAUGAGAUUCGGUCCUGUGCUCGCUUGAGAAGACAGCAACAGGUUACUACCGGUCAUGAAAGGCCUCUACACUUACCUGCAGCUUGCCGCUGUGUGAAAGGCGGAGAUAGUGUCCACUAAACUGAAGAGGAGAGCUAAUUUAAAGGACAGUUCCGGAGUAUUUAAACUUUCCCUCAAAUGUGGUUAUAGGAGUUUGGUUGUUGCUUUACUAAUAAUAAUUAAUAUUGUUUAAUUAUUCGUUAUUCUUCUAUUUGCUUUAUUUAGAUUAGAUUUUGAUAGUUGUUUCUUUAGUUUAAUUUGAUCCAUAAUAAAAGUUAACGGGGAAAAUAACAGAACAUGAAAAGAAAAAUCUUGUUUGUGGUUCUUUUGUUGUUCAGACCAACAGUUAACACAG
Long non-coding RNA from Thunnus maccoyii (southern bluefin tuna), 697 nucleotides. RefSeq lists it as uncharacterized. The transcript is spliced from 3 exons. The record is from RefSeq and is a predicted model, not a curated record. NCBI's taxonomy places the organism in Eukaryota, Metazoa, Chordata, Actinopteri, Scombriformes, Scombridae.